AAAAUUAAAAGUYUAAUYUGCCCAAUGAUUUUUGAAUGGCCGCGGUAACUUGACUGUGCAAAGGUAGCAUAAUUAUUAGUCUUUUAAUUGAAGGCUUGAAUGAACGAUUGAAUGAAAAAUAAACUUUAUUAAUAAAAUUAAUUUAAUUUAGUAUUUAAGUAAAAAUUCUUAAAUAAUUAAGUGGGACGAGAAGACCCUAUAGAAUUUAAAUAUUUUUUAUUAUUGUAAAAUUGAAGAAUUAUUAUUUUAAAAUAAAAAAAAUUUUUUUGUUGGGGUGACAUUAAAAAUUAGUUAACUUUUAAUUAAUAUAACAUUAAUAUAUGUUUUUUGAUCCAAUUUUUUUUUGAUUAUAAGAUUUAAUUACCUUAGGGAUAACAGCGUUAUUAAUUUGAAGAGUUCAAAUCGAUAAAUUAGUUUGCGACCUCGAUGUUGGAUUAAYAAAAAAUUUUGAAGCAUCAUUUAAAAUUUUAGGUCUGUUCGACCUUUAAAUUCUUACG
This 497-nucleotide ribosomal RNA is filed under the name Planopleura kaempferi. RNAcentral describes it as "partial 16S ribosomal RNA". The stretch from base 371 to 497 matches the Rfam family "Archaeal large subunit ribosomal RNA", at positions 2544 to 2671 of the family's 2987-position model. Lineage: Eukaryota; Metazoa; Arthropoda; Insecta; Hemiptera; Cicadidae. The record is from RNAcentral.